GAUGAACGCUAGCUACAGGCUUAACACAUGCAAGUCGAGGGGUAACAAGAGGAACGCUUGCUUUUCUUGUUGACGACCGGCGCACGGGUGUGUAACGCGUAUCCAACCUGCCUAUAACUAGGGAAUAACCUUGCGAAAGUACGACUAAUACCCUAUGAUUUCCUUUGAUGACAUCAGAUUAGGAAUAAAGAUUUAUCGGUUAUAGAUGGGGAUGCGUCUGAUUAGCCUGUUGGCGGGGUAACGGCCCACCAAGGCAACGAUCAGUAGGGGUUCUGAGAGGAAGGUCCCCCACAUUGGAACUGAGACACGGUCCAAACUCCUACGGGAGGCAGCAGUGAGGAAUAUUGGUCAAUGGGCGGAAGCCUGAACCAGCCAAGUAGCGUGCAGGAUGACGGCCCUAUGGGUUGUAAACUGCUUUUAUACAGGAAUAAAGUUAGCCACGUGUGGUUAUUUGUAGGUACUGUAUGAAUAAGGACCGGCUAAUUCCGUGCCAGCAGCCGCAGUAA
This 506-nucleotide ribosomal RNA is filed under the name uncultured bacterium. RNAcentral describes it as "partial 16S ribosomal RNA". It matches the Rfam family "Bacterial small subunit ribosomal RNA", at positions 28 to 523 of the family's 1533-position model. The record is from RNAcentral.